RNAcentral lists this ribosomal RNA (467 nucleotides) under uncultured bacterium. RNAcentral describes it as "partial 16S ribosomal RNA". It matches the Rfam family "Bacterial small subunit ribosomal RNA", at positions 28 to 507 of the family's 1533-position model. The record is from RNAcentral.
GAUGAACGCUGACGGCAUGCUUAACACAUGCAAGUCGAAUGGAAUUUGGGUUUUUAACUUAGGUUCGGGUGGCGGACGGGUGAGUAACGCGUAAAGAACUUGCCUCCCAGCUAGGGACAACAUUUGAAAAAGAUUGCGAAUACCUAAUAUUAUGAUAAUAGGGCAUCCUAUAGUUAUGAAAGCUAUAAGCGCUGUGGGAGGGCUUUGCGUCCCAUUAGCUAGUUGGAGAGGUAACGGCUCACCAAGGCGAUGAUGGGUAGCCGGCCUGAGAGGGUGAUCGGCCACAUGGGACUGGGGUCCCGGCCCGUACCCCUACGGGGGGCAGCGGGGGGGAUAUUGCACCAAUGGACCGAGCGUCAUGUCGAAAAGUUCUGUGUGGACUAAGAAGUUUUUGGUAAUAUAAAGUGCUUUCAGUUGAGGAGGAGUGAGUGACGGUACCAACAGAAGAAGCGACGGCUAAAUACGUG